AGAUUGAACGCUGGCGGCAUGCCUUACACAUGCAAGUCGAACGGCAGCAUGACGUGUAGCAAUACACGUUGAUGGCGAGUGGCGAACGGGUGAGUAAUAUAUCGGAACGUGUCCCGUAGCGGGGGAUAACCUAUCGAAAGAUGGACUAAUACCGCAUACGCUCUACGGAGGAAAGCGGGGGGUCGCAAGACCUCGCACUAUGGGAGCCGGCCGAUAUCGGAUUAGCUAGGUUGGCGGGGUAAAAGCCCACCAAGGCGACGAUCCGUAGCUGGUCUGAGAGGAUGAUCAGCCACACUGGAACUGGAGACACGGGUACCAGACCUCCGUACGGGAGCAGCAGGUGGGGUAAUUUUGGACAAGUGGGGCGCAAGCCUAGAUCCGAGCCAUCGCCGUCGUGAGUGAAGAACGGCCGUUCGGGUAGUUAACGCUUCGUUCGGACCGAAGG
RNAcentral lists this ribosomal RNA (445 nucleotides) under uncultured soil bacterium. RNAcentral's name for it is "bacterial SSU rRNA". It matches the Rfam family "Bacterial small subunit ribosomal RNA", at positions 26 to 448 of the family's 1533-position model. The record is from RNAcentral.